GAUGAAGAACUUAGCGAAAUGCGAUAAGUAAUGUGAAUUGCAGAAUUCAGUGAAUCAUCGAAUCUUUGAACGCACAUUGCGCCCGCCAGUAUUCUGGCGGGCAUGCCUGUUCGAGCGUCAUUACAACCCUCAGGCCCCCGGGCCUGGCGUUGGGGAUCGGCGGAGCCCCCCGUGGGCACACGCCGUCCCCCAAAUACAGUGGCGGUCCCGCCGCAGCUUCCAUCGCGUAGUAGCUAACACCUCGCGACUGGAGAGCGGCGCGGCCACGCCGUAAAACACCCAACUCUUCUGAAGUUGACCUCGAAUCAGGUAGGAAUACCCGCUGAACUUAAGCAUAUCAAUAAGCGGAGGA
This 352-nucleotide unclassified non-coding RNA is filed under the name soil metagenome. RNAcentral describes it as "partial contains 5.8S ribosomal RNA, internal transcribed spacer 2, and large subunit ribosomal RNA". The stretch from base 1 to 120 matches the Rfam family "5.8S ribosomal RNA", at positions 35 to 154 of the family's 154-position model. The record is from RNAcentral.